This 492-nucleotide ribosomal RNA is filed under the name uncultured bacterium. RNAcentral describes it as "partial 16S ribosomal RNA". It matches the Rfam family "Bacterial small subunit ribosomal RNA", at positions 29 to 507 of the family's 1533-position model. The record is from RNAcentral.
AGUGAACGCUGGCGGUAGGCCUAACACAUGCAAGUCGAACGGCAGCACAGUAAGAGCUUGCUCUUACGGGUGGCGAGUGGCGGACGGGUGAGGAAUACAUCGGAAUCUACUUUUUCGUGGGGGAUAACGUAGGGAGACUUACGCUAAUACCGCAUACGACCUACGGGUGAAAGCAGGGGAUCUUCGGGCCUUGCGCGAUUGAAUGAGCCGAUGUCGGAUUAGCUAGUUGGCGGGGUAAAGGCCCACCAAGGCGACGAUCCGUAGCUGGUCUGAGAGGAUGAUCAGCCACACUGGAACUGAGACACGGUCCAGACUCCUACGGGAGGCAGCAGUGGGGAAUAUUGGACAAUGGGCGCAAGCCUGAUCCAGCCAUACCGCGUGGGUGAAGAAGGCCUUCGGAUUGUAAAGCCCUUUUGUUGGGAAAGAAAAGCAGCAGGUUAAUACCCCGCUGUUCUGACGGUACCCAAAGAAUAAGCACCGGCUAACUUCGUG